RNAcentral lists this ribosomal RNA (253 nucleotides) under uncultured bacterium. Its description in RNAcentral is "partial 16S ribosomal RNA". It matches the Rfam family "Bacterial small subunit ribosomal RNA", at positions 524 to 776 of the family's 1533-position model. The record is from RNAcentral.
UACGUAGGGCGCAAGCGUUAUCCGGAAUUAUUGGGCGUAAAGAGCUCGUAGGCGGUUUGUCGCGUCUGCCGUGAAAGUCCGGGGCUCAACUCCGGAUCUGCGGUGGGUACGGGCAGACUAGAGUGAUGUAGGGGAGACUGGAAUUCCUGGUGUAGCGGUGAAAUGCGCAGAUAUCUGGAGGAAUACCGGUGGCGAAGGCGGCAUCCUGGACCGACAUUGACGCUGAACGGCGAAAGCUAGGGGAGCAAACGGG